Molecule: ribosomal RNA, 456 nt
Filed under: uncultured bacterium
Lineage: Bacteria
Description: bacterial SSU rRNA
Rfam family: Bacterial small subunit ribosomal RNA
Source: RNAcentral
GUCUACGAGUUUGAUCCUGGCUCAGAACGAACGCUGGCGGCAGGCCUAACACAUGCAAGUCGAGCGCCCCGCAAGGGGAGCGGCGGACGGGUGAGUAACGCGUGGGAACGUACCCUUUGCUACGGAAUAGCCUCGGGAAACUGGGAGUAAUACCGUAUGUGCCCUUCGGGGGAAAGAUUUAUCGGCAAAGGAUCGGCCCGCGUUGGAUUAGGUAGUUGGUGGGGUAAUGGCCUACCAAGCCGACGAUCCAUAGCUGGUUUGAGAGGAUGAUCAGCCACACUGGGACUGAGACACGGCCCAGACUCCUACGGGAGGCAGCAGUGGGGAAUCUUAGACAAUGGGCGCAAGCCUGAUCUAGCCAUGCCGCGUGAGCGAUGAAGGCCUUAGGGUUGUAAAGCUCUUUCAGUGGGGAAGAUAAUGACUGUACCCACAGAAGAAGCCCCGGCUAACUCCGUG